RNAcentral lists this transfer RNA (74 nucleotides) under Legionella micdadei. RNAcentral's name for it is "Tatlockia micdadei tRNA". It matches the Rfam family "tRNA". Rfam says of the family: Transfer RNA (tRNA) molecules are approximately 80 nucleotides in length. Their secondary structure includes four short double-helical elements and three loops (D, anti-codon, and T loops). The record is from Rfam by way of RNAcentral. Lineage: Bacteria; Pseudomonadati; Pseudomonadota; Gammaproteobacteria; Legionellales; Legionellaceae.
GGAGUGGUAGUUCAGCAGGUUAGAAUACCGGCCUGUCACGCCGGGGGUCGCGGGUUCGAGUCCCGUCCACUCCG